AUGGGGAAGGCCCUGAACCUCCAGAUCAUGGGAAGUGCCAUCUCGGGGGAGGGCUUCUUUUGCCUACAGUUCGAGGAGGACGAGGAGUUGGUCGAAGGUGCGGAUCUGAAGCCAGACAAUUCAGCCAUCAUCUCAGCGGAUCCGGGCCUGCUCACGCCCCGUGUCCUCAAACAAGAGCUUAAGCAUAUGGUCGCCGGGGAUUGGGACUGGCAGGUGGCCCAGGUUGGGGACAAUGACUUCUCAGUUGUCUUCCCCUCGGCUGAUCUGCUCCAUAUGGCCAAAUCCAGCGGCAAACUUUUCCUCUCUAUCAAUGACAUAACCGCUCGGGUGCGGGAGUCUCUGUAUGAGGAGGUGGAGCCUAUAUGCAUGCCAGAGACGUGGGUUCGGCUCCAUGGCAUCCCCAGGAAACAUCGCAGUGUGGAGCGUCUGAUGGAAGGCCUUAAGAUGCUGGGUCGUCCCAUUGUUGUGGAUGAGCUAUCCCUCAUAAGGCUGGGGCCAGUGAGGAUGAAGCUAGCAUGCAAGUCGCCUGACAAGCUCAAUGGCUUCGUCGAGGUGUGGUUCAACGGGGAGGGCUACCAAAUCAAGGUAGAGGUGGAACGACUACCAAAAAGAACUGGGAAGGCGGCCCGAGGGGAGCUGGCCCAUCUGACAAGAAUCCCCCUCCCCCUCCCUCAGAUCAGUCGGGGCGCCCGCGGGAUGCAGCCUCUGGCCCCAAUUUGGCUGGGGGUGGUAUUGUGCCAUCCAAGCAGCGGGCAGGCGGUACGCGCGGAGCGGUAG
Molecule: ribosomal RNA, 777 nt
Filed under: Triticum aestivum (bread wheat)
Lineage: Eukaryota; Viridiplantae; Streptophyta; Magnoliopsida; Poales; Poaceae
Description: partial small subunit ribosomal RNA
Source: RNAcentral